Populus trichocarpa (black cottonwood) is the source of this 2400-nucleotide RNA transcript. RefSeq lists it as uncharacterized. The record is from RefSeq and is a predicted model, not a curated record. The transcript is spliced from 4 exons. NCBI's taxonomy places the organism in Eukaryota, Viridiplantae, Streptophyta, Magnoliopsida, Malpighiales, Salicaceae.
AAUCAGAAUCAGCCUUUUGACUGUUAUAAAAUUAGCGUCUUCUUGGCAUCCCCGUCUAUGACAAAGAGGAUGUCUUGCUCUUUUUUAUUCCUUGGUUCGGUCUACAAGGAAUUGGAUCUUGGCUUACAUUUUGGGGCAAUAAGAUGUCUAAAAUAUCUGGGCUAAUGGCCUUAUUCUUUGUGGUUUGAGCCACAUGAAUGCUUCACUUCCGUUAUCCAACCACUUCUUGCCAAUUGUCGAAAUCCCACAAGGCCACAACCCCUUCAAAAGUUUGGAGCACAAAAGUGGCUUGUAACAUCCCAACAGCAUCACAUUCCAAAGCUGCAAAAAUUUGCUCUUCUGUUCUGUUGCUGCAAUAUCUAGAGAAUGAACACUGCAAAAAGAGCUGCUCAGCUUCUCUCAACUCAGAACAGUUGGUGUGAUUUGGAAAGGAGACAAACUCGUUGAUGGGGUCUCUCGAACAAUGGACUUCCUUCGUUCUAAGGGAAAAAACACUUGUUUUUGUGAUAAAUAAUUCAUUAAAUUCAAGAAUGCAAUGGGCCAAGAAGUUCCAUUCACUUUGGAUUUCGGUUGAUGAGGCCUUUAUCACCUGUCAACCUCCACUGUCAUAUAGCAUAACACUAAUUUUUGAAAUUGAGUGGAGACUUCAUGUUAGAUCACAGCUCAGUGGUCUUUUUAAACACCUGUUAAUCAUCAUUCAAGUGCCUUCUACCUAUUGUCUCAAACAGUGAGGUUCCUUAAAAAUGGUGACAUAGUUUUUGCACCAUCUAUAAAAUCUUGAAGGCAGCGUCCUGUUGGAAGGAGGCUUACCUUUUCUCCUCGUAGAUGGUUCACUUACAACACUUUUGUCCUGUACAUUGUUCUAUCCAUUUCCAUUGCGGAUGUUCAUCUUCUUUUACAACAUGGAAGCAUUAGCUAUCUUGCCUUUGCUUUUACUUGUAUCUUACAUUUGGUCUUAAAGGGAGCGGACGUUUUCUACCAUGUUUUUUAUUUAACAAGAACAACAAUUUACCUUACGCUCUUGUUUUACACAAUAUUGUGGCACCAAUUUAGUGCAGGAAGAUGGUGAAAAGAGAAUAGGGCUGGAUCAAAUUCCCUCUAUGAACAUGAUAAGAGUGUAAAGUAGCAACUUGGCUGCAAUUUCUUCGAGCUUCACUUGUCUAUUUAGUUCUGUUUUCCUGUUUGAGGUUUGUAAUGGUGCAACUCCUGCCUCAGGUUGGUGCAGUUGUGGUUGGAAUAGAUCCGCGCUGCAACUGUUACAAGCUUCAGUAAGAGUUUCUAAAUCCUAUGUUACCUCUUCUACCGUGUUAAGUCUGCUGUAUUUUGAUUUGGUCAUGUUGUUAUGAGAUUUUGAGCAAGAUACUAUUUGAAAUCGAUUUUUUAAGGCAACAACAGAGCAUAAGUUCACUUGUCAGCUUCUCUAAGAUUCAAGGAUAAAAAGAUUUCCUGCCAAUUGAACACUAGCUGAGCGGCCAAGGCAUGGUUAGGUCUUAGUCAGAUAUUUCCUUUGUCAAUGCAAAAUCUGUCAUAUCGACAUUGAUCUGGAAUUUGAUUCCACAAGACAUCUCAUACCCGGGGCUGUAAUAUAAUAAUAAUAAUUAAGAGCUACAUGCUUCUAGUUUCAAGAUAAAUAUUGAAUUGACAGGUAUGGAACCUUAUGCAUGCGUGAGAAACCAGGUUGCAUUUUUAUUGCUACGAAUCGUGAUCCAGUGGGACGUAAGACUGAUUUAUAGGAGUGGCCUGGUGCAGGUUGUAUGGUUGCUGCCACAUGCGGUUCAACAGAGAGAGGGCCUAUUACAGUUGGAAAUGCUCAAGUCUCAAAAACACAACAAUUGGUCCCCAUUUCAUACUGACAUCAUCACUAACCUUUGACAACUUAUAUUCUCACAGGAGACUGUUUGUAGAUUAAAUGUUUACUGUCCUGUGUUUUGCAGCUUUCUCAUCGGCACCUCCAAAAUGUGCAUGGUGGGUGAUAAACAAGAUGCUGAUAUUUUUUUUGGACAAAAUGCUGGCUACAGAACUCUCCUUGUUCUUUCAGAUAGACUGAUUUCUCUUGUUUUUGAAUUCCCUCUUUCCCUGAAAUAGAAUGUUAACUCAAAGCACACGAUGCUGAAAAAUUUGCAGGUGUAACAACGAAAACUACUCUUCAAGAUCCAUCAAACAAUGUCCAGCCAGAUUAUUAUACAAGUAAGGUGUCUGACCUACCUGACUCACUGGUACCAUAAACCUCAUUACUUGCCUUUCGGUCAUUCUCGUAGGCCUGUUGACAGUGCUGGUAGUGGAUUCCUGUUAAAAAUCUCAGGGAUUGUUGGGCAUUUUUACAGGUAUUGUCUUACCUUCGAUGCCAUAAUUCUCAGAAUUUGAGAACAAUCAUAAUGGUAUCAUCUUUCUGCUUGAUUG